CAACCGUCCACUUGUUCUCUUCCAUGGCU
Molecule: small RNA, 29 nt
Filed under: Bombyx mori (domestic silkworm)
Lineage: Eukaryota; Metazoa; Arthropoda; Insecta; Lepidoptera; Bombycidae
Description: piRNA piR-bmo-2193147
Source: RNAcentral